UUCAUUCUGCACAAUGUUAUUCCUGUGAG
RNAcentral lists this non-coding RNA (29 nucleotides) under Mus musculus (house mouse). Lineage: Eukaryota; Metazoa; Chordata; Mammalia; Rodentia; Muridae. The record is from RNAcentral.